This is a long non-coding RNA of Orcinus orca (killer whale), 1729 nucleotides long. RefSeq lists it as uncharacterized. The transcript has 2 exons. The record is from RefSeq and is a predicted model, not a curated record. NCBI's taxonomy places the organism in Eukaryota, Metazoa, Chordata, Mammalia, Artiodactyla, Delphinidae.
UUUUCUUAGUAGUCAUUUAAUUAUUUUAUCUUACAUUUAUUCAAAAGAUAUUUAUCAAGAUUUAAUCUACAUUAUUUGAACAGAUAUUUAUGGAGCCAGGAAGUUUUAUUUGGUGGUGGAGAAGGUGGAAGGUAAAAAUAAGAUCUGGUUCUGGACACAAAAAUAUACCUAAUAUAUUAGAGGAGAUAAGGAGGGGGCAAAAAUAACUGUAGCAUAAAGUCAAAUACCAUAAGAAAUUUAAGUUUUAAAAUGUGUGUCUUUUGUUUGUAUGUGUAUGUAACUAUAAAAGUUUUGGCAGGUAGAAAAAGGGAAGAUUUCAUCUGAGGUUGACAUCUAGAUUGCCGUUUGAAGGAAAGAACAUUUCACCAAGGGGGAAAAGUGGAGAAGCCUUUUGACCACAUGAAGGCAGCAGCAUCACCAAGGCGUGAUUAACCAAAUUCAUUUAAGAAUGGAAUUGGCUCACUGAUUUUGGGGACAAAGAAUUCCCAUGAUCUGCCUGGUGAAAGCUGUAGAACCAGGAAAGCCAGUGGUGUAAUGUAAUUCAGUCCAAGUCAGAAGGCCUGAAGACGAGGGGAGCUGAUGGUGUUAAGUCUCAGUCCAAAGGUCUGGGAACCAAGGGGCCAGUAGUAUAAAUCUUGGUCUGAAUGUGAAAGCCUGAGAACCAAGGCAGGAGAGGAUGGAUGUCUCAGCUCAAGCAGAGAGAGCAAACUUGCCCUUCCUCCACCUUUUGGUUCCAUUCACGUCCUCAGUGGAUUGGAUUAUGUCCUCUAUCCUUAAAGACAAUCUUCUUUACUCUGUCUAGGGAUUCAAAUACUAAUCUCUUCCAGAGAGUCCCUCAUAGACAAACUCAUAAAUAAUGUUUUACCAGCUAUCUGGACAUCUCUAAGCCCAGUCAAGAUGACACAUAAAAUUAACCAUCACAUACUCUAUAGUAGUAGUUAAUUAACUAAAAAUCUCUUUGAGUUCAGAGUGAAUUAUUUGGGUCUGCAAAUUUAAACAGCAGCAGUUAAUCAAGUAUUACUAUUUGCAUUAUCAUAAAUCUGAAGUAAAUCAAGUCCUGUAGAGUUUGUGUCUGUACUGCCACACCUAUAAAGUAUUAAUAGUCACUAGCCAGUUAGGUAGUUAUUAGGAAAGACUAAUAAGACUUUUCAUUCUAAAGUUGUUAAAUUUCCCAUUUUGAGGAGUUGGAGUGGGAAAUGGAGGAAGUGUUCAGUAUUGAGGUACAGUAAUUUGAGUGACCUAAUCAUUACGUCUUUUCCAUUAUUAAUUAAAAUAACUUUGAAAUUUUUGUUUUCAAGAAUCAGAUUUGUGUGAUAGUAAGUAUUCAUUCGGGAAUAGCCUUUUAUGGAAUUUUGGAAAUACUAUUUUGAUCUUUGGCAGGCAGAAUCAGGUAACUCACUAAGACUUGAGUAAUAGAAAAUAAAAUCACUAGUACUAAUAUGUCUGAUAGCUGCUUUGUGAAAAAAACCACCCAAUUUUAGUAUCAUAAAACAACAACCACUUUAUUAGGCUCAAAAAAUCUACGGGCCAAGACAGGACAGACUGGAUAUGCUUUAUCUAUUCUUGAUUAUGUCUGGGGCCUUAAUCAGGAAACUCAAAUGGCUGGAGGUGACUAGUGUUGCUAGAGGGUAGAAAAAUCUGGAAGCUGCUUCAUUUAUGUAUGUUUCCUGGGUGGGAUAACUCCAUGUCUGGGCUCAGCUGUGACUAUCAACAGAGCGUGUCCUGUGGC